This is a non-coding RNA of Oryctolagus cuniculus (rabbit), 1856 nucleotides long. Lineage: Eukaryota; Metazoa; Chordata; Mammalia; Lagomorpha; Leporidae. The record is from RefSeq and is a predicted model, not a curated record.
AGCGGAUCCAUCGUGAAAUAAAAAACACAACAAAUUAGCGUGUCAUGCUUACAAUUCUAGAGGCAGCACGACCCACAUGAGAGUCUGUGUUUUGGAAAAAGAAAUGGAACCCUUUUGCAGAGGGGAACGAUAAUUAAUUCCCCCAAAUCAAAUUUGCCAGCGAUUUUUAGGUGCAUUGAAUUAGUUUUCCAAAGCCAGUCAGCUGGGAGGGGUGGAUGAAUCUGGAAACAGCCUGUUUCCUUGUGACUAAAUCAAGCCAAUAUCAAAAAGGACUCUUCCGUUUCUUUGGCUUUUUUCACAUUUUGUGUAUUUAUCAUGGUUUGUCAUGAAUUUUCUGAUGUGAGCUUUCCUUUUGAGGCUGGAAUAUGGAGUUCAAGACACGGAAGGAAUGGUCUUUUUCAAUCAGGGCACAGCUGUUGGCUUGCUCCAAUUCUGGCUUUCUGUCAUUGUUUUGGGUGCCUCAGCCGACUUUUGGUUUCUUGAGCGGCAAUUUCCUAAAUGAUUUCUGGGUCUGAGUUGGUUUUGCCUUCUUCCUUCCCAAAUUUUGUAUUCUGACGCAAUACAAACCAGAGUUUAGACAGCGGAUCCAUUAUGAAAUAAAAAACACAACAAAUUAGCCUGUCAUGCUUAGAAUUCGAGAGGCAGCACGACCAACAUGAGUUUUUGUGUUUUGGAAAAAGAAAUGGAACCCUUUUGCAGAGGGGAACGAAAAUUAAUUCCCCCAAAUCAGUUUGCCAGCGAUUUUCAGGUGCAUUGAAUUAGUUUUCCAAAGCCAGUCAGCUGGGAGUGGUGGAUGAAUCUGGAAACAGCCUGUUUCCUUGUGUCUAAAUCAGUACGAAUAUCAAAAAGGACUCUUCCAUUUCUUUGGCUUUUUUCACAUUUUGCUUGUGUACUGUCUGCUGGACUCAGUCUACGGAACUCCUGCAAACUGUGUCUCUCUGCAUUCAAGGUACAUAACUCCUCAAGCAGUUUCUCCUACAAUCAUGCUACACAAAUCCUGCAUAAUGCGUAUGCCUACUCAGAAGCUACAGAACUCGCAGAAACUGUGUGAACUACAGUGAGGAUGCAGAACUGCUGUACAAUGCCGCUCUCUACGUCUAGUUUACAGAAAUACUAUAAGCUGCAUCUCCUACACACAGGCAACAGUAAUCCUGCAUACUGCGUAUGGCAACUCGUAUGCUACAGAACUCCGGUAAACUGUCUCCUACAAUGAGGCUGCAGAACUGCAGUAAACUGCCUCUCUCUACAUCCAGUUUAUGGAACUACAGGAAGCUGCGUCUCCUACAGUCAAGCUAAAGAAAUCACACCUACUGUGUAUAACUUCUCCCAAGACACAGAACUCCCGUAAACUGUCUCCUGCACUCAGGCAGGAGUGCUGUACAGCUUCCUGUAGUUCCAUAAGCUGGAUGUAGAGAGAGCCAGUUCUCAGCAGUUCUGCUGCUUCAGUGUAGAAGACACAGUACACUGGAGUUCUGUGGCUGGGGAGAAGGCAUACGCAAAAUGCGCGAUUUCUGUAGACUGAGUGUCAGAGACGCAGCUUACAGGAGUUGGUAAGCUUACAGCUUACUCUCUCUACAUCCAGCUUAUGGAACUACAGGAAGCUGUGCCUCCUACACUCUAGCUACAGCAAAACUGCAUGCUGCGUUUGCCAAAUCCCAGGCUAUAGAACUCCUAUAAUCUGUGUCUCCUAACCUCAGCCUUCAGAACUCCUGCAAACUGCGUCUCUCUACAUCCAUGGUACAGAACUCCUGCAAGCUGUUUCUCCUACACUCACGCUACAGAAAUCCUGCAUAGUGCCUAUGCCUACUCAGAAGCUACAGAACUCACAGAAACUGUGUGAACUACAGUCAGGAUGC